This 29-nucleotide non-coding RNA is filed under the name Homo sapiens (human). Lineage: Eukaryota; Metazoa; Chordata; Mammalia; Primates; Hominidae. The record is from RNAcentral.
CNGGUUGCUAGUUGCCCUUUUCUGGGAGA